GGAGAUGUAGCUCAUUGGUAGAGUGCUUGCCUAGUAUGCAAAAGGCUCUGGAGUUGAUCUCCAGCACCA
Molecule: transfer RNA, 69 nt
Filed under: Heterocephalus glaber (naked mole-rat)
Lineage: Eukaryota; Metazoa; Chordata; Mammalia; Rodentia; Bathyergidae
Rfam family: tRNA
About the family: Transfer RNA (tRNA) molecules are approximately 80 nucleotides in length.
Source: Rfam by way of RNAcentral